Molecule: ribosomal RNA, 506 nt
Filed under: uncultured bacterium
Lineage: Bacteria
Description: partial 16S ribosomal RNA
Rfam family: Bacterial small subunit ribosomal RNA
Source: RNAcentral
AGUGAACGCUGGCGGUAGGCCUAACACAUGCAAGUCGAACGGCAGCACAGGAGAGCUUGCUCUCUGGGUGGCGAGUGGCGGACGGGUGAGGAAUACAUCGGAAUCUACUUUUUCGUAGGGGAUAACGUAGGGGAACUUACGCUAAUACCGCAUACGACCUACGGGUGAAAGCAGGGGACCUUCGGGCCUUGCGCGAUUGAAUGAGCCGAUGUCGGAUUAGCUAGUUGGCGGGGUAAAGGCCCACCAAGGCGACGAUCCGUAGCUGGUCUGAGAGGAUGAUCAGCCACACUGGAACUGAGACACGGUCCAGACUCCUACGGGAGGCAGCAGUGGGGAAUAUUGGACAAUGGGCGCAAGCCUGAUCCAGCCAUACCGCGUGGGUGAAGAAGGCCUUCGGGUUGUAAAGCCCUUUUGUUGGGAAAGAAAUCCAGCUGGCUAAUACCCGGUUGGGAUGACGGUACCCAAAGAAUAAGCACCGGCUAACUUCGUGCCAGCCGCCGCGGUAA